AAAGUACUCCCUCCAUCCCAAAAUACUUGUCUUAGAUUUGUCUAGAUACGGAUGUAUCUAAUACAUUCGUAUCUAGACAAAUCUAAGACAAGAAUUUUGGGAGAGAGGGAGUAGUUG
Non-coding RNA from Triticum aestivum (bread wheat), 117 nucleotides. NCBI's taxonomy places the organism in Eukaryota, Viridiplantae, Streptophyta, Magnoliopsida, Poales, Poaceae. The record is from Rfam.